Molecule: ribosomal RNA, 465 nt
Filed under: uncultured bacterium
Lineage: Bacteria
Description: partial 16S ribosomal RNA
Rfam family: Bacterial small subunit ribosomal RNA
Source: RNAcentral
GACGAACGCUGGCGGCGUGCUUAACACAUGCAAGUCGAACGGACAGGCCCUGCUUGCCGGGUACUCGAGUGGCGAACGGGUGGGUAACACGUGGGUGAUCUGCCCUGCACAUCGGGAUAAGCCUGGGAAACUGGGUCUAAUACCGGGUAGGAGCCAUUUUUAGUGUGAUGGUUGGAAAGUUUUUUCGGUGUGGGCUGAGCGCGGGGCCUAUCAGCUUGUUGGUGGGGUAAUGGCCUACGAAGGCGGCGGCGGGGAGCCGGCGUGGGUGGGUGGACGGGCUCAGUGGCAUUGGGAUAGGGCCCAGACCCCUACGGGAGGCAGAAGUGGCGAAUAGUGCUCAAGGGGCGCAAGCCUGAGGCAGCCACGCCGCGGGGGGGAUGACGGCCUACGGGUUGUAAUUGCAUUUCUCUAUGGACGAAGCUUUUUGUGACGGUACCUAGAGAAGAAGCACCGGCUAACUACGUG